RNAcentral lists this ribosomal RNA (431 nucleotides) under uncultured bacterium. RNAcentral's name for it is "partial 16S ribosomal RNA". It matches the Rfam family "Bacterial small subunit ribosomal RNA", at positions 29 to 507 of the family's 1533-position model. The record is from RNAcentral.
AACGAACGCUGGCGGCAGGCUUAACACAUGCAAGUCGAACGCCCCGCAAGGGGAGUGGCAGACGGGUGAGUAACGCGUGGGAACAUACCCUUUUCUACGGAAUAGCUCUGGGAAACUGGAAUUAAUACCGUAUACGCCCUACGGGGGAAAGAUUUAUCGGGGAAGGAUUGGCCCGCGUUGGAUUAGCUAGUUGGUGGGGUAAAGGCCUACCAAGGCGACGAUCCAUAGCUGGUCUGAGAGGAUGAUCAGCCACAUUGGGACUGAGACACGGCCCAAACUCCUACGGGAGGCAGCAGUGGGGAAUAUUGGGCAAUGGGCGCAAGCCUGAUCCAGCCAUGCCGCGUGAGUGAUGAAGGCCUUAGGGUUGUAAAGCUCUUUCACCGAUGAAGAUAAUGACGGUAGUCGGAGAAGAAGCCCCGGCUAACUUCGUG